CACGUAGGGCGCAAGCGUUUGUCCGGAAUUAUUGGGCGUAAAGAGCUCGUAGGCGGUGUGUCGCGUCGGCCGUGAAAACCUGGGGCUCAACUCUGGGCGUGCGGUCGAUACGGGCAUCACUUGAGUUCGGCAGGGGAGACUGGAAUUCCUGGUGUAGCGGUGAAAUGCGCAGAUAUCAGGAGGAACACCUGCGGCGAAGGCGGGUUGCUGGGCCGACACUGACGCUGAGGCGCGAAAGCUAGGGGAGCGAACGGG
Molecule: ribosomal RNA, 255 nt
Filed under: uncultured bacterium
Lineage: Bacteria
Description: partial 16S ribosomal RNA
Rfam family: Bacterial small subunit ribosomal RNA
Source: RNAcentral